GAUGAACGCUGGCGGCGUGCCUAAUACAUGCAAGUCGAGCGAACAGACGAGGAGCUUGCUCCUCUGACGUUAGCGGCGGACGGGUGAGUAACACGUGGAUAACCUACCUAUAAGACUGGGAUAACUUCGGGAAACCGGAGCUAAUACCGGAUAAUAUUUUGAACCGCAUGGUUCAAUAGUGAAAGACGGUUUUGCUGUCACUUAUAGAUGGAUCCGCGCUGCAUUAGCUAGUUGGUAAGGUAACGGCUUACCAAGGCAACGAUGCAUAGCCGACCUGAGAGGGUGAUCGGCCACACUGGAACUGAGACACGGUCCAGACUCCUACGGGAGGCAGCAGUAGGGAAUCUUCCGCAAUGGGCGAAAGCUUGACGGAGCAACGCCGCGUGAGUGAUGAAGGUCUUCGGAUCGUAAAACUCUGUUAUUAGGGAAGAACAAAUGUGUAAGUAACUAUGCACGUCUUGACGGUACCUAAUCAGAAAGCCACGGCUAACUACGUG
RNAcentral lists this ribosomal RNA (497 nucleotides) under uncultured bacterium. RNAcentral describes it as "partial 16S ribosomal RNA". It matches the Rfam family "Bacterial small subunit ribosomal RNA", at positions 28 to 507 of the family's 1533-position model. The record is from RNAcentral.